This 1999-nucleotide unclassified non-coding RNA is filed under the name Leishmania donovani. RNAcentral describes it as "gene:unknown". The record is from RNAcentral. Lineage: Eukaryota; Euglenozoa; Kinetoplastea; Trypanosomatida; Trypanosomatidae.
CCGCGAGGCACGCCCUCCCGCCUCCUCUAAUCGCUUGUGGACCCCACCCACACCUCACACGCCGAAGUACCCUGGCCGCGAAUACUCGCACACACACACACACACACACACAUAUAUAUAUAUAUAGGGCACACUGCCCACACCUCUCGCACCCCAUCAAGAGCGAAUGGGGCAGUACACACGCGACGAGUGGUCGCUGUAGCGGCGCUGCUUCGCUGCAUACCCCCCGACGCCACGCGUCGCGCUCGGUGUGCGCGUGCCGGGCUCGGGUCUGGAUGGGCAGUCGCAUGCUCACGGUCUGCGGACCCGAUGGCGAGGAGGUCUCCCUCGACGAGCGCACACGCAUCUCCGUGCAGCUCGCACCCGGGGGCACCCCGGGUGGCUUGGCGCAAGCGCCCAAGACGACGGUUUCAGGAAGCGCAGAGCUUGUCGGCGCAGAUGCAGUCCACGCUGGCGCACCGGGCACAUGUAGCGAUGGCAGGGCCGGGCUGUGUCUUCUACGUAGCCUCCCUCACCCCCCAGGCUCCGGCAGAAUACGUGCGCUCAGCUUGUCAGCCCGACGAGGCGCAGUGCCUCAGGGGCGGCUACUGACGCACGCGGGGAGGGCGAAGGGGUGACGCCUGCGAAGGGGGCGCGUUGGAGGCGGGGGCCUCUCACUACCGUUUCGUGAGUAGAACCACCGAACCCAAAGCCGCAGCGAACCGCCAAACAUCCGAGGGGAGAGCGCGCUCCCCCCUCACCCGCGGGGGGCAUUCAAGUGGACGUGUGUGCACGGCUGCCCGUCCUCCCCCCUCUCCCCGCUGAGUGGCCGGUUGAGGGGCACUCCCGCAACGUUCUCUCUCUCACCCUCCUGUCGGAGGCAAUGGAGGGAUGUGCCGGUGUGCGCAUCUGCCUGCCCUUCCUAGCCCGUCUUCCGCUCUUUCUGUCGGUCUCCGUCUCUUCAUCGUUUUCUCGCCACUUCAACGGAGGCAUUCCCAACACAAUUUUUUGGCUCCCCUGUGCCACUGCCAGCUGUGCGUCUUUCUCUCUGUAUCGACGCUUGUGCUCGCAUGUGAGCUGCGCGCGAGCAGGCUCAGCGACACCCUCUCCUGCCAGUAAUGACCGCUCUGUGUAUUUCUCCAUGCCACUGUGCUCUCUCGCUCUCCGCACCCCAUGUGCCCCGCCUUCUUUUCUCGCGCUUGUGCGUGUGUGCGUUUGUCGUCUGCCGAGGUUGCUGUUCAGCCCUCGUGGCCGAAUCCUCUCCUACACGCGCACACAUGCUCAUGUGUGCACGCUUCGUCACCCGCCUCGCCACCCGCCGGUGGGUACUCGGUCCUCCUGUGCUUUUUUUUUGUCCCUCUUUCUCUUGUGCCGGCAUUGCUUCUUCAGCUCGCGCCCUCUCCCUGCCCAUCUGUCUCCCACCCGUCACUCCUAGAGGCUCAGCUCGCCUCCGAUUUUGCAACUUGAGCUGUGGAAGAUGCAGCACCGCGCCAACCAAUGCGUGCGCAGCAGGCAGGAUGUCUUUUCCUUUCGUUUGCACCUAUGCUUAUAUCGGUGCGUCUCUUCGUGUGCUGGUCUACUCGUCUGGGGAGUCUCUCUCGAGGGAACGCGAGAGGCAGGGGGGAGAGGUGGGACGUGGAAGGGCCGAUGAGGGAGCGAUGCAGCCAAGAGAGGGGGCGUGCCCGAGCUACCGAAGCGCACAGGCAAGUCGCACCAAGAAAAAAAACGCAAAAGGGCACAAGGGGAGCGAUGAUGAUGUCGGCAGAGCAGGGGCAGGUGGAGAAAAACUCCUGCCCCCUCCCUUUGCUGCACCCUUCCCCAAAUCCGUGGAGUAUUUAUUCUUUGAUUUUGGAGUAUGACAGGGUGAGCAGGGGGAGGUGCUGCUCAUACGCGCGCUUUCUUCUUGUGCGCUCGCACAUGUGACGCACUGCUUGCUGAUCCUCCUCUCUCUUCUCGUCUUCACUCCACUGCCACUUCCCUGUCGUUUGGUUGUCGUGCUGGCUGCACUCGCUUCUCUCAG